GUCACUUUGGCGGAGUGGUUAACGCGCAGCCCUGCUAUCGUCUGACUUGUCUGACUUGAUUCAAGUUGUUCAAUAUCGGUCUAAAAUAGGCUGUGACUUCGGUCGCGUAGGUUCGAAUCCUGCAGGUGACG
Ilyonectria destructans is the source of this 131-nucleotide non-coding RNA. The record is from the annotation of a GenBank genome assembly. Lineage: Eukaryota; Fungi; Ascomycota; Sordariomycetes; Hypocreales; Nectriaceae.